This 440-nucleotide ribosomal RNA is filed under the name uncultured bacterium. RNAcentral describes it as "partial 16S ribosomal RNA". It matches the Rfam family "Bacterial small subunit ribosomal RNA", at positions 338 to 795 of the family's 1533-position model. The record is from RNAcentral.
CCUACGGGGUGCAGCAGUAGGGAAUAUUGCUCAAUGGGGGAAACCCUGAAGCAGCAACGCCGCGUGGAGGAUGAAGGUUUUCGGAUUGUAAACUCCUUUUGUUAGAGAAGAUAAUGACGGUAUCUAACGAAUAAGCACCGGCUAACUCCGUGCCAGCAGCCGCGGUAAUACGGAGGGUGCAAGCGUUACUCGGAAUCACUGGGCGUAAAGAGCGCGUAGGCGGGAUAGCAAGUCAGAUGUGAAAUCCUAUGGCUUAACCAUAGAACUGCAUUUGAAACUGUUAUUCUAGAGUAUGGGAGAGGUAGGUGGAAUUCUUGGUGUAGGGGUAAAAUCCGUAGAGAUCAAGAGGAAUACUCAUUGCGAAGGCGACCUGCUGGAACAUUACUGACGCUGAUGCACGAAAGCGUGGGGAGCAAACAGGAUUAGAUACCCCAGUAGUC